AUACGUAGGGAGCGAGCGUUGUCCGGAAUUACUGGGCGUAAAGGGCGCGUAGGCGGCGCUUCAAGUCGUCUGUCAAAUGGGAGGGCUUAACCCUUUUUCGCAGACGAAACUGGAGAGCUUGAGAAGCAGAGAGGCAAACAGAAUUCCUGGUGUAGCGGUGAAAUGCGUAGAGAUUAGGAAGAACACCAGUGGCGAAGGCGACUCUCGGGACUGUAACGGACGCUGAGGCUCGAAAGCGGGGGGAGCAAACAGGAUUGGAUACCCGGGUGGUCCACGCCGUAAACGAUGAUGACUAACCGUCGGCGAUAGACCGCCGGUGGCCAAGCGAAAGCGAUAAGUCAUCCACCUGGGGAGUACGACCGCAAGGUUGAAACUCAAAUGAAUUGGCGGGG
Molecule: ribosomal RNA, 392 nt
Filed under: uncultured bacterium
Lineage: Bacteria
Description: partial 16S ribosomal RNA
Rfam family: Bacterial small subunit ribosomal RNA
Source: RNAcentral